UACGUAGGGACCGAGCGUUGUCCGGAAUCAUUGGGCGUAAAGAGCGUGUAGGCGGCCACUUAAGUCCUGCGUGAAAUCUUGCGGCUCAACCGCAAGCGGUCGUGGGAAACUGGGUGGCUAGAGUGCGGGAGAGGAGAGUGGAAUUCCUGGUGUAGCGGUGGAAUGCGCAGAUAUCAGGAAGAACACCCGUGGCGAAGGCGGCUCUCUGGGCAGUAACUGACGCUGAGGAGCGAAAGCGUGGGGAGCGAACAGG
This 253-nucleotide ribosomal RNA is filed under the name uncultured bacterium. RNAcentral describes it as "partial 16S ribosomal RNA". It matches the Rfam family "Bacterial small subunit ribosomal RNA", at positions 524 to 776 of the family's 1533-position model. The record is from RNAcentral.